Panicum virgatum (switchgrass) is the source of this 1560-nucleotide long non-coding RNA. RefSeq lists it as uncharacterized. Lineage: Eukaryota; Viridiplantae; Streptophyta; Magnoliopsida; Poales; Poaceae. The transcript has 4 exons. The record is from RefSeq and is a predicted model, not a curated record.
UCUCCAUCUCCUUGCCCGUGUGUCAUUGUAUGCCGCAGAAUUGCCACCGCUGCGUCGUGAAUUGUCAUUGUAUGCCGCACACCAAUCACGAUUCUUAGCUUUGCGUGUAGUAUAUCGAUCCCUUGCUUAAGUUCCCAAUAAUAGUCUGAUUUGGUUUUCAUGGGGUUCUGGAGUUUCUUCGAUUCUGGGAUCUUCCUUCGGCGUGGGAAGGUAGAGAGGAGGUCAGAUCCCUUCUCAAUCUCUCUCUCUCUUUUUGUAUUUCAGGCAUCUGGACUACUAUACCACACAGUUGCUGACUUUGAUUUACAGUUUUACACAGGGAUUGCAUGUCCCGUGCUGUGCUGUGCUAGGGGUGGUAAAAGGUCUUAAUUAAAAUUUUGCCAAAAUAUUCUAAGGGCCGAGUCUGAAAAGGGUCGGACUCUAGUAGUACAAUUUUGAGAUAAAAAUUAAUAAGCUAAGGGACCUGUUGGAUUGCGAAGAGACUUCGAGCCAUGAUUGGUUACCCCUUCUCCGCAUUUAUUUCUUUAAUUGAGCCAAUUUAUAUGAUGAUUUAGGAACAAUUCUGUUGGGGGUCGCACUGCCACAGCUGAAACAGGUACUUAAUUAUGCACUGUUAUAAUUUGGUAUUUUCGUUUUAAUUUGUUGUGGUGCGUACAGUUCAUAUCAUUCUGUAGGUUUGUUAUUCUUGAUGUCAUGCACAACAUGUACAUCAGGCUCUCAGCAUUAAUUUGCCAAAAUUAUCAUUGUCUGCAAUUUCGGGAAGAGGCAUAUACAUAUAUACUCGGUGAGGAUCCGAGGGUGGCUCUCUUUAUCUGAUCAUCAUGCGAAGCCAAGCAGGAAGAAAGGCCGCCACUCUUCUUGGGCUGUAUGUAUGAGCAACGCCAGUACAGUAAUGGAUGGAUUUGCAACCUCUGCUGGGAGCUUGUGAGUUUGCUUAUCUUACUAUCUAUCAUCAGUUAGAUCAUGAGCUGUAGUAUACAUGAGGUAAGUCAAGUCUGUCUCUGCGGACCCGGACUAUGUGAUAUAGUGCCAGUGGCCAGUUAUGCUGUCAUCGUGAUGCGCUUGCAGCACGCUGGAGGUGCUUGGUGCGGUUGAGUGCAGUGCAUACAGCUGAAAUAUCAAGCAGCUGCCACCUUGACCUUGGCUCCACACUGAUGUUACUUAAUCGACAUGGUACCAGUAUGCUGAUGAGGAUGCCCCUCGAUUUGAUGAUUCGCCAGAUGAUGUGGACUCAGCAGAUUGUAACCUAUUCAUCAAGUUUGAAGUCAUAUAGGCUCAUAUAUAGCUGAUACACUCCAGACCUUUUGCUCUUCACUUUUACACGUGCAUUCACAUUUGUAGCUCCAGCCUUCCAGAGAACGGUAGGGGGCUAGGGGCUAGGUUGCUGGACAAGUGUGUAGAGACACACUGUUGCAUUCAUGACGUCUCGUACUUAUCUCUUCAAUGAGAUCUGCCCUACUCAUCUUCGGAGUUCUUCAUCUGUAAACGCUCUUGACAGUUAACAGCUGUGUCUGUGCACAAAGUAUGUGUUUCAUCUCUUAGGCAUGUUUUUUGCUCGUA